This 719-nucleotide ribosomal RNA is filed under the name uncultured Staphylococcus sp. RNAcentral's name for it is "bacterial SSU rRNA". It matches the Rfam family "Bacterial small subunit ribosomal RNA", at positions 61 to 762 of the family's 1533-position model. The record is from RNAcentral. Lineage: Bacteria; Bacillati; Bacillota; Bacilli; Caryophanales; Staphylococcaceae.
GUCGAGCGAACAGACGAGGAGCUUGCUCCUCUGACGUUAGCGGCGGACGGGUGAGUAACACGUGGAUAACCCACCUAUAAGACUGGGAUAACUCCGGGAAACCGGGGCUAAUACCGGAUAAUACAUGAAACCGCAUGGUUUCAUGAUGAAAGACGGUUUUGCUGUCACUUAUAGAUGGACCCGCGGCGUAUUAGCUAGUUGGUAAGGUAACGGCUUACCAAGGCAACGAUACGUAGCCGACCUGAGAGGGUGAUCGGCCACACUGGAACUGAGACACGGUCCAGACUCCUACGGGAGGCAGCAGUAGGGAAUCUUCCGCAAUGGGCGAAAGCCUGACGGAGCAACGCCGCGUGAGUGAUGAAGGUCUUCGGAUCGUAAAACUCUGUUAUUAGGGAAGAACAAAUGUGUAAGUAACUAUGCACGUCUUGACGGUACCUAAUCAGAAAGCCACGGCUAACUACGUGCCAGCAGCCGCGGUAAUACGUAGGUGGCAAGCGUUAUCCGGAAUUAUUGGGCGUAAAGCGCGCGUAGGCGGUUUUUUAAGUCUGAUGUGAAAGCCCACGGCUCAACCGUGGAGGGUCAUUGGAAACUGAAAAACUUGGGUGCAGAAGAGGAAAGUGGAAUUCCAUGUGUAGCGGUGAAAUGCGCAGAGAUAUGGAGGAACACCAGUGGCGAAGGCGACUUUCUGGUCUGUAACUGACGCUGAUGUGCGAAAGCGU